Molecule: ribosomal RNA, 850 nt
Filed under: uncultured bacterium
Lineage: Bacteria
Description: bacterial SSU rRNA
Rfam family: Bacterial small subunit ribosomal RNA
Source: RNAcentral
CGCUAGCGACAGGCUUAACACAUGCAAGUCGAGGGGCAGCACGGGAGUAGCAAUACAACUGGUGGCGACCGGCGCACGGGUGAGUAACGCGUAUGCAACCUACCUAUCAGAGGGGAAUAACCCGGCGAAAGUCGGACUAAUACCGCAUAAAACAGGGGCACCGCAUGGUGAUAUUUGUUAAAGAAAUUCGCUGAUAGAUGGGCAUGCGUUCCAUUAGGUAGUUGGUGAGGUAACGGCUCACCAAGCCGACGAUGGAUAGGGGAACUGAGAGGUUGGUCCCCCACACUGGUACUGAGACACGGACCAGACUCCUACGGGAGGCAGCAGUGAGGAAUAUUGGUCAAUGGGCGGGAGCCUGAACCAGCCAAGUCGCGUGAAGGAAGAAGGAUCUAUGGUUCGUAAACUUCUUUUGCAGGGGAAUAAAGUGCAGGACGUGUCCUGUUUUGUAUGUACCCUGAGAAUAAGGAUCGGCUAACUCCGUGCCAGCAGCCGCGGUAAUACGGAGGAUCCGAGCGUUAUCCGGAUUUAUUGGGUUUAAAGGGUGCGUAGGUGGUUUGAUAAGUCAGCGGUGAAAGUUUGCAGCUUAACUGUAAAAAUGCCGUUGAAACUGUCGGACUUGAGUGUAAAUGAGGUAGGCGGAAUGCGUGGUGUAGCGGUGAAAUGCGUAGAUAUCACGCAGAACUCCGAUUGCGAAGGCAGCUUACUAAGCUACGACUGACACUGAAGCACGAAAGCGUGGGGAUCAAACAGGAUUAGAUACCCUGGUAGUCCACGCAGUAAACGAUGAUUACUAGCUGUUUGCGAUACACAGUAAGCGGCACAGCGAAAGCGUUAAGUAAUCCACCUGGGG